ACCCCUUCCAGCAUGGCCAGGUAGCACAGCUGAGCCAGGGAUGAUGGGGCCAUAUUGGGUUUGGCUCUGCCUUGCAGCUGGCAGUCCAAACACUGAGGACAUGCAUAUUUCUGCAGGCCAGUGAGACCCAUUUCUACCAAAAAAAAAAAAAAAAAAUCAAGAAAUUAGCUGGACAUGGUGGCACAUGCCUGUGGCCCCAGUUACAUGGCAUGGCAGGCUGAGGCAGGAAGAUCACUUGAGCCCAGGAGGUGGAGGCUGCAGUGACCCAUAUACAUGCCACUGCACUCCAGCCUGGGCAACAGAGUGAGACCCUCUCUCAAAAACAGAUAAAGUGGACAGAAAAUAGGUUGGUAAGGACUAAUCAUUUAAGGGACAAGCCCCCAGAAGAGUGGCUACUAGAGUGGGAGGAGGAAAAGCAGAAGGAGAAAGAGUUGAAGACAGGCGAGGCUGUGGUCCCAGUGCUGAAUUCUGCCAAGCAGUGACUUGAUUCAUGAACACUCACUGGAUGCUGACUCUGUUGCUCUUCUGAGUGCUGGGGUAGAGGAGAGGAGAGGUGGAGCCCAGUUCUUGCUUUUAGGAGCUUAUGUUCUAGGAAGUUCAAGUAUUUUUUCAGGUAGUAUGAAAUAGCAGGAAGAGGAAGCAGGCUAAAGGGACACAGAGUGAUUGGGGGCUAUUUUAAGUAGAAUGAUAAGGAAGAGCCUGUCUAGAGAGCUAUUUGAACAAUGACCUGACUGAAGGGACAACAGAAAGCAGUGCUGACAUUACAGGUAGCAGGAUGACUGCCAAGACAGAAACGCAUUUCAUAUGUGUUUGAGGAACAAACAGCAAGGUGACCAGCAUGGGGAGAGUGAAGAAUGAGGGAAACCUUGAAUGAGAGUAAAGCAAUUCCAUCUUGGAGGCUAAUCUGCCAUAUUCUGAUUAAUCCCAGUUCCAAGAAUUCAUCUACAAUUUCUAUUUUAUCUUUUUAAAAAUAUUAUUUUUUAUUUUUUAUUUUUUGAGACAGUCUCACUCUGUCUCCCAGGUUGGACUGCAGUGGCACAAUCUCAGCUCACUGCAAACUUCACCUCCUGGGUUCAAGCGAUUCUCCUGCCUCAGCUUCCCGAGUAACUGGGAUUACAGGCGCCUGCCACCAUGCCUGGCUAAUUUUUGUAUUUUUAGUACAGAUGAGGUUUUACCAUGUUGGCCAGGCUGGUCUGGAACUCCUGACCUCAGGUGAUCCGCCCACCUUGGCCUCCCAAAGAGCUGGGAUUACAGGCGUGAGCCACCGUGUCUGGCCAUACACAUCCCUGCCGAAGCCCGCAUUACCCUUCCCCUAUGCUAUAGAAGCCCUGGGUCGGGGGGGUGGGGGUAAUGGCACAGGGAUCCACCAUCUUAUCUUGGUGCCAUCCCUGACUUGGCUUCUGUUCAUAAACGCCUAUUAAAUGUUUCUUUCUGAGAAACUGGAUUUGUCAGCCUCUUUCUUUGGUAUCUCAGGUUCCUUGGCCUUUGCGGGUAGGUUUAUAUAGACCUGCUCAGCACAGGACAGGCAGUUUCUCAAAAAAUUAAAAAUAGAAUUACCAAAUGAUCCAGCAAUAUCACUUCUGGGUAUAUAGCCAAAAUAAUUGAAAGCAAGGUCUCAUAGAAAUAUUUGUACACUGAUAUUUAUAGCAGUGGUAUUCACACUCAUCAAAAGAUGGAUGCAGCCUAAUUGUCCAUAGGCAGAUGAAUUGAUAAAAUGUGGUAUAUACAUACAAUAAAAUAUUCUUCAGCCUUAAAA
RNAcentral lists this long non-coding RNA (1756 nucleotides) under Homo sapiens (human). RNAcentral's name for it is "LHRI_LNC1741.1". The record is from RNAcentral. Lineage: Eukaryota; Metazoa; Chordata; Mammalia; Primates; Hominidae.